GGGUCAGUAGGUUGGUCGUGCCACCGGUACGUACUGGUCUCACUGAUUCCUCCUUCCUGAAGAACCGUAAUGCCAUUAAUUUGGUGUUGCGGGGAAACAGGACUGUUACUUCGAAAAAAUUAGAGUGUUUAAAGCAAGCUAACGCUUGAAUGCAUUAGCAUGGAAUAAUGAAAUAGGACGAUCGAUCCUAUUUUGUUGGUUUCUAGGAUUGACGUA
This 216-nucleotide ribosomal RNA is filed under the name Glomeromycotina sp. Its description in RNAcentral is "partial small subunit ribosomal RNA". The stretch from base 40 to 216 matches the Rfam family "Eukaryotic small subunit ribosomal RNA", at positions 686 to 864 of the family's 1831-position model. Lineage: Eukaryota; Fungi; Glomeromycota. The record is from RNAcentral.